UACGGAGGGUGCAAACGUUGCUCGGAAUUAUUGGGCGUAAAGCGCACGUAGGCGGUUUGUUAAGUCGGGUGUGAAAGCCCAGGGCUCAACCCUGGAAGUGCACUCGAAACUGGCGAACUUGAAUAUGGAAGAGGGUCGCGGAAUUCCCGGUGUAGAGGUGAAAUUCGUAGAUAUCGGGAGGAACACCAGUGGCGAAAGCGGCGACCUGGGCCAAUAUUGACGCUGAGGUGCGAAAGCGUGGGGAGCAAACAGG
RNAcentral lists this ribosomal RNA (253 nucleotides) under uncultured bacterium. RNAcentral's name for it is "partial 16S ribosomal RNA". It matches the Rfam family "Bacterial small subunit ribosomal RNA", at positions 524 to 776 of the family's 1533-position model. The record is from RNAcentral.